CUGAUUCUGAUUAUAAAAGCUCGUUGUUGGGACCCAGAGCCCUCUCAUGCCCCAUUGUUAUGGAACCCAGAGAUAUUGGGAAAUAACUGUGAGAUUUCACUGCCCAGCAUAGCAAUUGUUGCAUUUGUGAGGUGGGGAAAGGACUACUAAUGGAUCCAUGCACUCCUCAGGCGUCAUACUGAGUGUCAGAGAGUGUCUGUGACUGUUGGGAUGGGGAGAGGAAGAAAGGAAGGGAAUUGGUCCUGAUGGGAAAGAAGAAAAAGAAGGGAACCUGACGUCUCUCGUUUCUUCCACUUGCAGGAUGGAGAGCUAUGCUAGGUCAAUCCAUUAAAAGAACUUACUUAAGUGCCUACUAUAUGAUCUUAUAUGAAGGAGAAAGAGAGAAGAAGGAGGGAUGGAGAAAUGGAGAGGAAACAAGUCCUUGCCCUCAUGAAGCUUCCUUUUCCUGGAAAGGGACCGUCCUUGGAAAAUCAUAUAUCUGGAAUUUCUGAAGAUCUGCGUCACUGGCUAGUGAUGAAGGGUAUUUGCCAACUAGAAAAUGCUGUAAAUAUUGAACUACGAUUAUUUGAUUCCUUUGCAUGCAUUCUCACACCGCAGUGGGUGGGUUUAUCUCAUCUUUUCAUUCUGUUACAAUUAUCAGAAAGCUGGGAAUUGAUUCCUUCCUAUAAUUUGAUAUUUGGGGAUUGUGGGAAUGCCAGUGAUUGACUAGACAACUACCAUGUCAACAUGAAAGCAUCAAAGAAUAAACCUUUCCUCCAAAGCUGUGAAGUGCUAUUU
RNAcentral lists this long non-coding RNA (777 nucleotides) under Monodelphis domestica (gray short-tailed opossum). RNAcentral's name for it is "lncRNA (ENSMODG00000033013.2)". Lineage: Eukaryota; Metazoa; Chordata; Mammalia; Didelphimorphia; Didelphidae. The record is from RNAcentral.